RNAcentral lists this ribosomal RNA (440 nucleotides) under uncultured bacterium. RNAcentral's name for it is "partial 16S ribosomal RNA". It matches the Rfam family "Bacterial small subunit ribosomal RNA", at positions 338 to 795 of the family's 1533-position model. The record is from RNAcentral.
CCUACGGGGGGCAGCAGUAGGGAAUAUUGCUCAAUGGGGGAAACCCUGAAGCAGCAACGCCGCGUGGAGGAUGAAGGUUUUCGGAUUGUAAACUCCUUUUGUUAGAGAAGAUAAUGACGGUAUCUAACGAAUAAGCACCGGCUAACUCCGUGCCAGCAGCCGCGGUAAUACGGAGGGUGCAAGCGUUACUCGGAAUCACUGGGCGUAAAGGGCGCGUAGGCGGGAUAGCAAGUCAGAUGUGAAAUCCUAUGGCUUAACCAUAGAACUGCAUUUGAAACUGUUAUUCUAGAGUAUGGGAGAGGUAGGUGGAAUUCUUGGGGUAGGGGUAAAAUCCGUAGAGAUCAAGAGGAAUACUCAUUGCGAAGGCGACCUGCUAGAACAUAACUGACGCUGAUGCGCGAAAGCGUGGGGAGCAAACAGGAUUAGAUACCCGGGUAGUC